Molecule: ribosomal RNA, 497 nt
Filed under: uncultured bacterium
Lineage: Bacteria
Description: partial 16S ribosomal RNA
Rfam family: Bacterial small subunit ribosomal RNA
Source: RNAcentral
GAUGAACGCUGGCGGCGUGCCUAAUACAUGCAAGUCGAGCGAACAGACGAGGAGCUUGCUCCUCUGACGUUAGCGGCGGACGGGUGAGUAACACGUGGAUAACCUACCUAUAAGACUGGGAUAACUUCGGGAAACCGGAGCUAAUACGGGAUAACAUGUUGAACCGCAUGGUUCAACAGUGAAAGACGGUCUUGCUGUCACUUAUAGAUGGAUCCGCGCCGCAUUAGCUAGUUGGUAAGGUAACGGCUUACCAAGGCAACGAUGCGUAGCCGACCUGAGAGGGUGAUCGGCCACACUGGAACUGAGACACGGUCAAGACUCCUACGGGAGGCAGCAGUAGGGAAUCUUCCGCAAUGGGCGAAAGCCUGACGGAGCAACGCCGAGUGAGUGAAGAAGGUCUUCGGUUCGUAAAACUCUGUUAUUAGGGAAGAACAAAUGUGUAAGUAAAUAUGCACGUCUUGACGGUACCUAAUCAGAAAGCCACGGCUAACUACGUG